GAGAAGACUGUUCGUUCUGGCCGAGUGUUAAUGUUUUCUGUGGGGGCCCAGGCGGGGCAGGAAAGGACUGGCCACCCAGCAGGGUUCCUGGGAUGGAAGGCUGCCUGGAGGGAGGACAGUGUGAGGCUCCAGUCCCCGUCACCUGCCGUUUUCCUCUCCUCCUGCACCUACGCAGCUGUUGAGGUUUGCUACUAGCUGGUGCCAUCAGCCCAGCAGACACCAGCCCAAGAGCCUCGGGGUCCCACAGAUACCAUCACUAAACGCAUCCGCUCCCCAAAUCUGCUGCUGCCCCCACAUGAGGAGUGCCAGCGCCUGUCUGGAAACCCAUUCUUGGUGCUUCUCUUUCCCUUGUGCUGUGGAUCCAAUCCUCCACAGCCUCCUGUGGGCUCACUUCCUGGCCGUGUUGUGACUCCAUCUGUAGUCACGCUAACCUGGGCUCCACUCCCAGUUUACAGCAGUGUGACCUUGGGCACAUCAGUUUACUGUGGGCCUUGGUUUUCUCACCCAUCAGAUGGGACAUGCGUACUGACCUCACGGGCUUGCUGUGAGGACUAGAUGAGAGAAUGCGAGCGUUGGUGAGUAUCUGACUCCUAGAAUAGCCUGUGCUCAGGCUCCUCCAGGCCAUCUCGCCUCUCCCCUGGGAGUCCUCUUCAUCUCCUGCCCACAGAUGAGCUCCUCCCUCCAGUGCCCUCCCUCCAGUGAGGCUAGGGCGCUCCUGCCUUGGGCCUCGGCUGCCUCCACUCUCAGGGUCCCCUGGCUCCCUGGGGUAGGGAAGGCAUGUCGUCCUCCGGACCCUGUGGGCCUCCCCAGCCGUGUCUCCCAGUGGCCUCCCCUCACGAGGCAUCUCUGGCCGGGGGAGGCCCAGUGUGCUCCUAAGUGCUCCCUGCAGCCUGAACUACUGCUCCACGCACACGUCACAUGGCAGAAACCGCUAGGUCCUGGAGCUCCUCCAUGGGACAAAGCUCCUCCUGGGCAGGGGCCGUGACUUCUUCACUGUUGCAGUCCAGAGCCCAGCACAACACCUGACCCAUAGGAGGACCUGUUCAGCGGACAAGGCCGACCAACUGUAGAGUGUGGCCGUGAGGUUGAGAGAGGCCACUCACAAGUGUCCAGGGUCAGCCUCAGGCCAGCCCAGGACAUGAAACCCUUUAAUGGCAUGUAGAGUCAACAGGACUCCGGAGCUGCGGCUGUUCAGUAGGAAAGACCAAAAGCAAAUGGUAAACAAGAGAGAAGACACACAUGCAUGCACAAAUAAAAACAGCAGCACCACCACCACCACCGCCGCCGCCACCACCAGCAAGCCAUGGAAUGCUGGGCCGGAGAGGCUGCCCAGAGAGCUGUCCUGACUCUGAAUUCACAGAAGUCCUUGCUACAAACUCCAACCUUCUAUUCUAUAGAAGCCUUAGCCAGGGCAGAACAUCGGUUACUUGUGGAAGACUCAAGAAUCAGAUCUGAAGUCUGCUCUCCUGGCCUCUUGGUAUGCUCUGUGGUGAGGGAGAUCCGGCAGCAAGCGGGGGGCACCUUCCCCUGGCAAGGACCCUGAGGGGCCCACGGCAAAGCCCUGCUGCUGCUCCCUCCUCAGCCUCAUUCUCACAGUAAGCCUGUCUGCGGAAAGUCAGUGUGGGUGCUGAGGGGCCUUCCAGAGCAGGUGCCGCCAUUUUGUCUGGCUGAAUCCAGGCCCCUCCAGCCAAAAAAUGGAGCACAGAGAUUCAAAAUCCUUAGAGGGAAAUGGAUAAAGGUGCUUUCCGUUCAUGUCUCAGUUUUUGGGAUAUCAAAAAUGGGAGUAUGAAGAGACCUCUAGAGGUAGAUUUUGGGAGUACAUUCAGGAAAAUUUCACAAGCCCCUUUCCUGCCUCUACAAAGCCACUUAUUAAAUA
Molecule: long non-coding RNA, 1876 nt
Filed under: Homo sapiens (human)
Lineage: Eukaryota; Metazoa; Chordata; Mammalia; Primates; Hominidae
Description: HSALNT0391733
Source: RNAcentral